RNAcentral lists this ribosomal RNA (497 nucleotides) under uncultured bacterium. RNAcentral's name for it is "partial 16S ribosomal RNA". It matches the Rfam family "Bacterial small subunit ribosomal RNA", at positions 28 to 507 of the family's 1533-position model. The record is from RNAcentral.
GAUGAACGCUGGCGGCGUGCCUAAUACAUGCAAGUCGAGCGAACAGACGAGGAGCUUGCUCCUCUGACGUUAGCGGCGGACGGGUGAGUAACACGUGGAUAACCUACCUAUAAGACUGGGAUAAAUUCGGGAAACCGGAGCUAAUACCGGAUAAUAUAUUGAACCGCAUGGUUCAAUAGUGAAAGACGGUUUUGCUGUCACUUAUAGAUGGAUCCGCGCCGCAUUAGCUAGUUGGUAAGGUAACGGCUUACCAAGGCAACGAUGCGUAGCCGACCUGAGAGAGUGAUCUGCCACACUGGAACUGAGACACGGUCCAGACUCCUACGGGAGGCAGCAGUAGGGAAUCUUCCGCAAUGGGCGAAAGCCUGACGGAGCAACGCCGCGUGAGUGAUGAAGGUCUUCGGAUCGUAAAACUCUGUUAUUAGGGAAGAACAAAUGUGUAAGUAACUAUGCACGUCUUGACGGUACCUAAUCAGAAAGCCACGGCUAACUACGUG